AAUUGAACUGAUGUUCUUCGCAAACAUAAACAAGCAGUCCAGGACAAUUAAACAAGUGAUUUGUUCUGCAACAACAGUCAUUUUACAGAGGACAAUGUGUUUAUAAGUUAACUGCAGAGGACACGAUUGCACCACAAUCAUCAUUGUUCAAUCCAGCUCUUUGUGUCCCCACUGAAUCUCAAAGGGCAGAAGGCCACACAAAGGCUGCUUGCACAGACUUUAUUUAUCUUUCUUGGAACGUGCAUCAAGACCAUAUAUCAUCUCUGAGUUCCUGUUGCCUUAAUGGUUCCAGCACCUGAGAGAAUACCCGCUGCGGCAAUGCCCUCCCUCUCUGAGCACUUACAAAAACAAAACCACUCAGCGCACAGCACCUGGAAUCAGUGUGGAGCUAUAACUCUCCUAAGAGUCACCCUGCCCUAUCCUGUGUUCCCUGCUCUGGGCUUGCACUGCGGCAUCGUCCCAGCUCGCAGUUUUCCUCUUUCCGCUCCUCCCGGUCACUCCACAUAACUCUAAUUAUUGGCCCACCCUGCUGAUCCCCAUAAGUUCAGCAGCAACACCUUCAAGGACUUCCUCUCCAUUCAAAACAAGCCCGAAAGCUUCUGCUUCACCGCUCUGAUCUGUGGGAAAAGAGAAACUCACAGCAUGGGCUGCAGCGAUAGGAUUAUGAUAGCACAGAAAUGGGUGUCCUAAGGAAUCAGCGUGUCUCGGUGAUGCCUCACACAGUGUCCAAACCAGACUCAAAGCGAUGAAGCUACAAGCAAUAAAAGGUCACCAAACAGCUCCACUCCCAGAGCAGCGAAGAUGAAGAAAAGCAACAUGAAGAGAAGACCCAGAUUCCCCACCUGUAUAGAGAUAUACAUGUAUAGAGAGAGAGGGAGAGAGCCAGGAGAGUUUGUC
Molecule: long non-coding RNA, 897 nt
Organism: Megalobrama amblycephala (Wuchang bream)
Lineage: Eukaryota; Metazoa; Chordata; Actinopteri; Cypriniformes; Xenocyprididae
Exons: 3
Source: RefSeq, a predicted model, not a curated record